UUGGAUGAUGAUGAGGCCUGUGCAUAUAGU
RNAcentral lists this non-coding RNA (30 nucleotides) under Rattus norvegicus (Norway rat). Lineage: Eukaryota; Metazoa; Chordata; Mammalia; Rodentia; Muridae. The record is from RNAcentral.